GACGAACGCUGGCGGCGCGCCUAACACAUGCAAGUCGAACGGAGCUGAGAGAAUCUUGCUUUUCUUAGCUUAGUGGCGCACGGGUGAGUAACGCGUGAGUAACCUGCCCUGGAGUGGGGGACAACAUUUGGAAACGACUGCUAAUCCCGCAUAAGCCCACGAUCCGGCUUCGGUUUGAGGGAAAAGGAUUUUUUCGCUUCAGUAUGGACUCGCGUCCAAUUAGCUAGUUGGUGAGGUAACGGCCCACCAAGGCGACGAUUGGUAGACGGAAUGAGAGGUGGAAAGGCCACAUUGGGACUGAGACACGGCCCAGACUCCUACGGGAGGAAGCAGUGGGGGAUAUUGCAAAAUGGGGGAAAACCUGAUGCAGCGACGACGCGUGGAGGAAGAAGGUUUUCGGAUUGUAAACUCCUGUCGUUAGGGACGAUAAUGACGGUACCUAACAAGAAAGCACCGGCUAACUACGUG
Molecule: ribosomal RNA, 468 nt
Filed under: uncultured bacterium
Lineage: Bacteria
Description: partial 16S ribosomal RNA
Rfam family: Bacterial small subunit ribosomal RNA
Source: RNAcentral